CCUUCCGCGCCUCCCAAAACAACGUCGUUUUGGGAGGCGCGGGACGCACAGUGCUGCGCGCGUCGUGUUGCAGGGUAUAACGAUUGUAAUUAUAGUUAGAG
Ipomoea nil (Japanese morning glory) is the source of this 101-nucleotide long non-coding RNA. RefSeq lists it as uncharacterized. The transcript is spliced from 3 exons. Lineage: Eukaryota; Viridiplantae; Streptophyta; Magnoliopsida; Solanales; Convolvulaceae. The record is from RefSeq and is a predicted model, not a curated record.